AUGGGCGCAAGCCUGAUGCAGCGACGCCGCGUGCGGGAUGGAGGCCUUCGGGUUGUAAACCGCUUUUGAUCGGGAGCAAGCCCUUCGGGGUGAGUGUACCUUUCGAAUAAGCACCGGCUAACUACGUGCCAGCAGCCGCGGUAAUACGUAGGGUGCAAGCGUUAUCCGGAAUUAUUGGGCGUAAAGGGCUCGUAGGCGGUUCGUCGCGUCCGGUGUGAAAGCCCAUCGCUUAACGGUGGGUCUGCGCCGGGUACGGGCGGGCUGGAGUGCGGUAGGGGAGACUGGAAUUCCCGGUGUAACGGUGGAAUGUGUAGAUAUCGGGAAGAACACCAAUGGCGAAGGCAGGUCUCUGGGCCGUCACUGACGCUGAGGAGCGAAAGCGUGGGGAGCGAACAGGAUUAGAUACCCUGGUAGUCCACGCCGUAAACGGUGGAUGCUGGAUGUGGGGCCCGUUCCACGGGUUCCGUGUCGGAGCUAACGCGUUAAGCAUCCCGCCUGGGGAGUACGGCCGCAAGGCUAAAACUCAAAGAAAUUGACGGGGCCCGCACAAGCGGCGGAGCAUGCGGAUUAAUUCGAUGCAACGCGAAGAACCUUACCUGGGCUUGACAUGUUCC
This 614-nucleotide ribosomal RNA is filed under the name Bifidobacterium dentium. Its description in RNAcentral is "bacterial SSU rRNA". It matches the Rfam family "Bacterial small subunit ribosomal RNA", at positions 371 to 992 of the family's 1533-position model. The record is from RNAcentral. Lineage: Bacteria; Bacillati; Actinomycetota; Actinomycetes; Bifidobacteriales; Bifidobacteriaceae.